RNAcentral lists this ribosomal RNA (1362 nucleotides) under Triticum aestivum (bread wheat). Its description in RNAcentral is "partial small subunit ribosomal RNA". Lineage: Eukaryota; Viridiplantae; Streptophyta; Magnoliopsida; Poales; Poaceae. The record is from RNAcentral.
AAUGGAGCCAGUAUUCGGGUAUGGAGGGACAAUUGGAUUCCGAGACCCCACUCUUUCAAACCUAUCUCUCCAAGAGGUAAUUGCCGUAUCCGCUAUGUGUCUGAACUUCUCAAUGACAAUGGAUCUUGGAAUAUGAACUUGUUGCAGAAUUACUUUUGGCCUUGCGAUGUGGAUGAAAUCAUAAAAAUUAGAGCGUCCCCAAGGCAUGAGGAGGAUACACUUGCAUGGGGACCAGUGAGGUUUGGCCAAUUCUCGGUGAAGUCGGAGUAUGAUUUUGCCUUCGAUGAAGCCAACGGAGAACUACAGCCAGCAUAUAGCACUAAUCCGGAUGGCUGCCGAACUAGUUGGAACUUGAUAUGGAAAACGGAUGUCCCCCCAACAGUAAAAAACUUUGCAUGGAGAGUGGUCUCAGACUCCCUUCCGACUUAGGUUAAUAAACAUAAGAGUACCUUGGAAAUCACCAAUAUAUGUCCGGUGUGUGACGUGGAACCAGAAGACAAUUUUCAUCCUCUAUGUCGCUGCCCUAGAGCACGGGAAUUAUGGAUGUAUAUGUCAAAAGUUUGCAACCUGCCGGCGUUGGAUACUGUGGUGAACGUCGGGAAGGAAUGGUUAUUCCAUGUGCUACUUCCACUACAUGAAAUAGAGAGAUCCAUGCUACUCAUGACACUCUGGAGGGUUUGGUUCAUACGUAAUGAGAUAGUACACAACAAGAUCCCGCCGCCUCUUGAAGUUUCGAGGAGAUUCCUUGUCAGCUAUCUGGAAUCUCUAAUUGCUAUUAAAAUGAACACGCAUAUCGACCCAGCUAAGGGGAAAUCAAUCAUCUCCUAUGACCGCAUAUUCAUGCUGAUACAGCUCUACCACCGCCCGCCCCCCCAGUGGGCUGCACCACCGGAGGGGUGGGUAAAGCUAAACACAGACGGUUUUUUUGAUGCUGGCAGGGCUGGAGCAGGUAUGGUACCUCGGGAUCCUUUGGGAGGCAUAAUCUUUUUUGCAUGCAGAACACUUUUCUCGUGUCGUGAAGCUUUGGAGGCAGAGCUUUGUGCUUGCAUGGAAGGGUUAUCUCUAGCGAUCCAGCGAAGUGAUCGUCCAGUUGCUAUUGAGAUGGAUUCACUUGUUGCUAUAAAGUUAAUCCAAGGGCAAGAUAAAGAUAGGUCUAUUUAUGCUUCGUUAGUCAAAGAGAUUAGAUAUCUCUGAUCUCUCCGUGAAAAUUGUAUUACUCAUGUAAAACGUACUCAAAAUUAGGUUAGCGAUAGCCUAGCAAACUUUGCUCGUACCGAGGGAAGAACCAUGACUUGGAUUGGCUCUGGACCCUCGUGUGUGCUUGAGCUAGUCUCCGCUGAUUGUAAUUCUUUGUUGGCUUGA